Molecule: unclassified non-coding RNA, 188 nt
Filed under: uncultured fungus
Lineage: Eukaryota; Fungi
Description: sequence contains ITS1, 5.8S rRNA gene
Source: RNAcentral
CGAAUAGGUUAGUGCCCCUCGGGGCGCUCAAUAACCUCCACCCAUUGUUUAACUUACCAUUGUUGCUUUGGCGAGCCGCGGGAGUAAUCCCCCGCCGGUCUCGUGCUAGCGAGUGUUCGCCAAAAGCCUUCUGUUUAAACUUCUUUUAAAACGAUGUCAGUCUGAAAGGAAUUAUUUAAUAUAAGCAA